UACGUAGGGGGCAAGCGUUAUCCGGAUUUACUGGGUGUAAAGGGAGCGUAGACGGCACUGCAAGUCCGGAGUGAAAGCCCAAGGCUUAACCAUGGGACUGCUCUGGAAACUGUGGGGCUUGAGUGCGGGAGGGGCAGGCGGAAUUCCUAGUGUAGCGGUGAAAUGCGUAGAUAUUAGGAGGAACACCAGUGGCGAAGGCGGCCUGCUGGACUGUAACUGACGUUGAGGCUCGAAAGCGUGGGGAGCAA
RNAcentral lists this ribosomal RNA (248 nucleotides) under uncultured Lachnospiraceae bacterium. RNAcentral describes it as "partial 16S ribosomal RNA". It matches the Rfam family "Bacterial small subunit ribosomal RNA", at positions 524 to 771 of the family's 1533-position model. Lineage: Bacteria; Bacillati; Bacillota; Clostridia; Lachnospirales; Lachnospiraceae. The record is from RNAcentral.